AUACCCUUGAUAAGGAUGAUUCCUUAUUUUCAAGUCCAGAUGUCACUGAUAUUGCACCAAGUAGGAAGAGGAGACACCGAAUGCAGACAAAUCUUGGGACAGAACCUAAAAUGGCUCCACAGGAGCUGCCACUACAGGAGAAGGAAAGAUUAUAGAAGGAGUACAAGGUCAUUUCUAACAAUCACGAAAUGUAGACAGCAAGGAUGAGCUGCGAAGCCCGCAGCCUCUUGCACAUGGAGAUGAGCAGCACUCCCACUGUGGCAGCUCAGGGUCUCUCAGCUCUCCUCUGCUAUGUUUGCCUUACACUACUAGGCUGGCAGUGUGGAUCGUAUAACCUGUUAUUAGGUACAAAUACAUGUAAGAAUUUCUCUUUGGUAGCUUUUUUCAACAUAAUUUGAAAGUCCAGUUUUUAAAUAUUUUCAUUUUUCUUUAACCAAGCAUCCAUUAUAUUUUUCUAUUAUUGGAAAAAAUCAAUGUAUUUAUUUUAAUAUAAUAUGUAGUACAGUUGUAUCAAUUGGUAAAUUCCUCUGGUAGAGUCUCCAAAAUCAGGAUAAUAAAGCUGUUAGUCUCAUAUCAUAUUUUAUCAGAAUUACUUCAGAACCUCUGAACCAUUUAUUCUUUAUGAAUAGUGAUUGUUUUUGUGUCUUUUCAUAAUCUGCUUCAUUUUAAUACAGUUAUUAUCCAUUCUUU
This 690-nucleotide long non-coding RNA is filed under the name Rattus norvegicus (Norway rat). RNAcentral describes it as "long non-coding RNA NONRATT015955". The record is from RNAcentral. Lineage: Eukaryota; Metazoa; Chordata; Mammalia; Rodentia; Muridae.